CCUACGGGUGGCAGCAGUGAGGAAUAUUGGUCAAUGGCCGAAAGGCUGAACCAGCCAAGCCGCGUGAGGGACGAAUGUCCCAUGGAUUGUAAACCUCUUUUGUCAGGGAGCAAAAUCACCCACGUGUGGGUGUUGGAGGGUACCUGAAGAAAAAGCAUCGGCUAACUCCGUGCCAGCAGCCGCGGUAAUACGGAGGAUGCGAGCGUUAUCCGGAUUUAUUGGGUUUAAAGGGUGCGUAGGCGGGUUAUUAAGUCAGCGGUAAAAGCGUGGAGCUCAACUCCAGCCAGCCGUUGAAACUGGCGAUCUUGAGUGGUCGAGAGGUAUGCGGAAUGCGUGGUGUAGCGGUGAAAUGCAUAGAUAUUGCGCAGAACUCCGAUUGCGAAGGCAGCAUACCGGCGCGGAACUGACGCUCAUGCACGAAAGCGUGGGUAUCGAACAGGAUUAGAUACCCUUGUAGUC
This 459-nucleotide ribosomal RNA is filed under the name uncultured bacterium. Its description in RNAcentral is "partial 16S ribosomal RNA". It matches the Rfam family "Bacterial small subunit ribosomal RNA", at positions 338 to 795 of the family's 1533-position model. The record is from RNAcentral.